This 372-nucleotide transfer-messenger RNA is filed under the name chicken gut metagenome. It matches the Rfam family "transfer-messenger RNA". From Rfam's summary of the family: Bacterial tmRNA, also known as 10Sa RNA or SsrA, is named for its dual tRNA and mRNA-like properties. Its role is to liberate the mRNA from a stalled ribosome. The record is from RNAcentral.
GGGGAUGCUCGGUUUCGACGGGUAACCGAACUCGCGAUAUAAGCAUGCGGAAGGGCAGCGGCUUCCUUAAAACGCGAAAAGCAAAUAAAUGCUAACAACAACUCCAAGGUAAGCGCUCCCGCCUUCGGCGGUGCUCUUGCUUGCGCGGCAUAACGACCGCGCCGUUCCCGCGGGAGGUCACCGACCCGCGGCGGGCGCAAACAGGUGAAAACUUUCGCGGCAAGCGGGCAUAGCCGCGACCGUACUUAUGUCCUCGCGAUCGGCGGGUCGUCCGUUCCCCUGCCGUGAGUUAAACUCCGAAGCGGAAUAAGCAUGUAGAAGGUCCCGUGCAAAGUUAUUCGGACAGGGGUUCGAUUCCCCUCAUCUCCACCA